GACGAACGCUGGCGGCGUGCCUAAUACAUGCAAGUAGAACGCUGAAGCUUGGUGCUUGCCCCGAGCGGAUGAGUUGCGAACGGGUGAGUAACGCGUAGGUAACCUGCCUGGUAGCGGGGGAUAACUAUUGGAAACGAUAGCUAAUACCGCAUAAGAGUAGAUGUUGCAUGACAUUUGCUUAAAAGGUGCAAUUGCAUCACUACCAGAUGGACCUGCGUUGUAUUAGCUAGUUGGUGAGGUAACGGCUCACCAAGGCAACGAUACAUAGCCGACCUGAGAGGGUGAUCGGCCACACUGGGACUGAGACACGGCCCAGACUCCUACGGGAGGCAGCAGUAGGGAAUCUUCGGCAAUGGACGGAAGUCUGACCGAGCAACGCCGCGGGAGUGAAGAAGGUUUUCGGAUCGUAAAGCUCUGUUGUAAGAGAAGAACGAGUGUGAGAGUGGAAAGUUCACACUGUGACGGUAUCUUACCAGAAAGGGACGGCUAACUACGUG
RNAcentral lists this ribosomal RNA (497 nucleotides) under uncultured bacterium. RNAcentral's name for it is "partial 16S ribosomal RNA". It matches the Rfam family "Bacterial small subunit ribosomal RNA", at positions 28 to 507 of the family's 1533-position model. The record is from RNAcentral.